Long non-coding RNA from Amborella trichopoda, 1548 nucleotides. RefSeq lists it as uncharacterized. Lineage: Eukaryota; Viridiplantae; Streptophyta; Magnoliopsida; Amborellales; Amborellaceae. The record is from RefSeq and is a predicted model, not a curated record.
CUAAAAAUAAUAAUUAAAAAUACAAAAUGGGUUAAAUUCGGACAAAAAUUAAGCAACGGGUCAGCCCCCUUGCGAGUUUUAUUUAUUUAUUUAUCAUAUUGCAAUCCUCGAUCAACUUUUUAUAUUAAUUUUUUAAAAAAUUUCGAUAGUGGGGCUGUUUCCUAAGGUUUAGGACAGUGCCCAGUUAGUAUGAUGUUCGUAUCAUCGGCUGGCUUGUGAAACACUACAUCACAUUGCGGGUUUUGUUCUUUUUUUGUUCUUCCUAUCUCUCUCUAUGUCAACCCUCUCUUUCUCUAUACCCUGGAGUGGCCAAGCAUCCAGCUGAGAAUUUUUUGCCAUAGAAGUGGGAUAAGUAGUGUGAUUCUGGCAAGAAUCCGACCACCAGAUAUAAUGGCAAACCAAGGUAACAAUGAUGGAGGAUAAAAGGACAAGGUCCUAUUAAACCUGAAAGAGAAACAUGUAUCGGAAUUAGUAUUUAAAGGAAAGGAGAGGCUAAGAAUUUAUAUCAACGAGCCCUCUAGAACCGUCAGAGCAUGGCCCAUUACAGACGAGCAUCGAGAGAUUUGUAGAAAUGGCAGGGUUGUCAAAAAGGUAACGUCUCGAAACUAACAUCACCCAUUUGGUGGCAUGCAUAAGAGAGAUGAUGCCGACGUGUACGAUGCAUAGUAGAUUCACCGGCUUAUGUCACAUAUUUAAACGAUUGGCUCGGAGAUUGCCCGGAUAAGGGAAGACUGCUGACACUUAAAUUCAGCUGGUUGAAAAAUAUAUUUAUGAAGCCACUUGGGUGUUAUACAAUUGGGUAUUGAGCAACACACGACGGCCUACUUACUCUUAACUAUCGACAAUACCAUUUUUCCAGUUCAAAAGGCAAAGAACUUCCUACGAGAUACCUGACUCUGUUUGAAGAUUUUCAUCACGGGGGAUCAUAUGCACGAGGAGCGAUGUAUCUAGCAUAUAUGUUUUGCUUGCCACAGAAGUUUUUGACAAUUAAACCCAUGGACCGAAAUAGGGCAAAUGAGGAAGCCAAUAGCCAUACAAGCCAUCACUUAAGAGGCUCGACUACCCUAUUUCAAGUAAUAAACCUUGUUUUUAAUUUCUAUGUUGGUGAAACAAAGUCUAUCAUAAAAAAAAUCUAAACUUUUUGGUUUAUUGUCCACAUGGUACGACCUUCUUGUCUAAAAGAGAGACCAUUAGGGUAAAAAAUGAAGCAAAUUUCAUUCCACAAUUAUUGGAUCAGAUAUUCAAGGAGGUGGGAGAGAACUACAUGGUCAAAGUUGUUACAAAUAAUUCCAAAGCAUGUGUUUCAGUGGGGUCAAAGUUGAUGGAAAAAAGGAAACAUUUGGUAUGGACCUCAUGUGUUGCCUAUUGUAUUGAUCUCAUAUUAGUAGAGAUUGACGAGCUCAAAAAUAUGAAGGAGACUCUCUCAACUAGCUGAUCCCCAGAUUAAAAACCAGUAUCGGAACCAACUAGGGAAUCUUUCAAAAAUAGGCAUUUUUAUCUGAAUAAACCAGGUAUGGGAAUUAUUUAAGUUUUGAUAUGCAAAUACUU